This 550-nucleotide long non-coding RNA is filed under the name Coturnix japonica (Japanese quail). RNAcentral's name for it is "lncRNA (ENSCJPG00005003420.1)". The record is from RNAcentral. Lineage: Eukaryota; Metazoa; Chordata; Aves; Galliformes; Phasianidae.
UCUUUUUUGUUUGUUUUUCUCCUUAGUCCUGACACAGUGAUCACUAUCAAAAUUAUAAUUGUUGUCUUUUCAGUUUUCCAGCUGGUGCUGCAUCUUUGAAUACCUGUUUGCACUGGGAGGCAACUAGANCCUGCCAAAAUUUCAGAACUCUGCAUCUUCUCCUUGAGGGCAGACCACUCUCCUAGUGGCCUCCAAAAGCCUAUUUCAGGAUCAAAUCCUUGUAAUGCACUUUGCUAUGCUGUGAAAUAAGAAGACAUGUUUUUUCUCUUCCCCCUCUCCAGAAUUCCUGUCCUUCUCUACCUUUUAGAGUAAGCAGAUCUGCUGCCCAGAAGCAUGUAGGCCUACCUCACAGCACUCACUGUGGGGGGGAAAGCCGCUGCCCUUUGUCUUCCAGGCUAUUCAGAAGUGCCAUUCUUGGGCAAAACAGCCAAAAUAAGAAGAAUGUCUCAAUGCACAAGGAUACCGAGUUGCUCAAGCAUGUGCAAAAAAGAGCAGUGAAGCUGGAGAAGUGACUAAUAAACAAGAUGUAUGAGGAGUGGCUGAGGAUACA